Long non-coding RNA from Mastomys coucha (southern multimammate mouse), 1501 nucleotides. RefSeq lists it as uncharacterized. Lineage: Eukaryota; Metazoa; Chordata; Mammalia; Rodentia; Muridae. The transcript has 4 exons. The record is from RefSeq and is a predicted model, not a curated record.
CAUAAGGAACUGCAUUAAAGGGUGGCAGGAUUAGGAAGGUUGGGAGCCACUGUAUUGGUGUAACUCUCACAGGAAGACCUGAACACCUGGCAACUAUAACAGAGCAGUCUACCCAUACAAAUCUUGGAGUCUAAAUUCUUGAGAAGCUCUAGUUCUGAUGCCUGAGGACAGGAAAGAUAGGUAUCCUAUCCCCAGAGGAAAAAGCGAAGAGCCAUCAGUCCUCUGUCUUUGUACUGAAGUUGGACUACUAGCUGAUUAGGUAGUGUCUGCCCACACUGAUGAUAGAUCUGCCUACUCUAUCCACAGACUGACAGGCAAGGCUCCUGGGAAAUUCCAAUCAUGCCAAUCGAAUGAGAAGCCAACUGGGGCCCCUAUCGACUGUAAACGAGUGUGUUCCGUGCCUGUGGAGAUUCAAGAACAAUGAAUGCUUAGCCUUGGUGUCUCUUAAUUUAGUGAAGUUGACAUCCCAAAUUUAACAUCAUACUCUGGCAGAACAAUAGGCUGGGAUUGCAACAGUUUCAAUUUGAUGGAACAGUUUCGGAAGCUAAUCCCGUUUUCCUUUCAUGAGCAGCUGACUACACAGAGGUACAACGUAAACGGGACAUAAAAUAUUCCUAUCUGAUUCAGCCAACCAGACGCCAGAGGGAUGGAUCAAUGGUGAGAAUCGAAGGAUCGGGAACAAGCUGAGGAGAAAGAGACAUCAGGACUGAGUACGAGCAGGAAGCCAGACAACAGAGAGCUAGGGAGAAUGAGGUUCCCUUGGGACUUUGGGAUAACCUAAUACCAGGAAGUGGCUCGCUUGAGGGAAUGGGAUCUCUGCAGUCUCCACAGCCGUCACAGUGACCAUCCACGGGAGGGAAGAAGGAAGGUGGCUCAGCCAGUGUUGGUUCAACCUUCUGCAGUGUGACCCGGAGUCUUUUAUUUUAGGCAUAUUUAAGUACAGCACAAUUGGUGAAAAUGUAUUCCUGUGAUAAUGAACUCAAUGCUGUGUGCACAACAAAGCAAACAUAAAUCUCCUUGAAGAACAAAGGAAGCUAAAUACAGAAAUGACUACAUUGAGACUAGGAAGUCUAUGAAGAUGGGUUCUAUAGACGGACCGAGAAGAACAAGCUCACAGAUCACACAGAGGCCACCAGGCUCCUAACCACACCCAUUCCCAGCCUUCUGGGUGGAUAACAGGUUAUCCAUCCCUUCCUUUGAAGCAACAACCCUGUGUGUUUAACAUUCAUGCUUGUGUGUGAGCACAGAGAUCUCCAUGCCUUCUACAACUGCUCUGUAAAGGUGAAAUGCUCUGGUAUUAUCGAAUUAGUCGCAUUGGAAGAUGCCACCCACCAGAACUAAUCAGACUCAACCAUCUUUAUUCCUUGAUAGCGCCCUGGCUUCUCUCCCAUCAAUGUAACAGCUGCACUUUUUUAAAGGCAGGCUGAGAACACUCCCGCUGCAGAUUCAGUGCCGGGUGGCUGCAAUCAUGACUGUUUACUGAAUAUUAAUAUUCUGUGUG